This 404-nucleotide ribosomal RNA is filed under the name uncultured bacterium. Its description in RNAcentral is "bacterial SSU rRNA". It matches the Rfam family "Bacterial small subunit ribosomal RNA", at positions 355 to 776 of the family's 1533-position model. The record is from RNAcentral. RNAcentral also lists the same sequence under 1 other name.
UGGGGAAUAUUGCGCAAUGGGGGGAACCCUGACGCAGCAACGCCGCGUUAAGGAAGAAGGCUUUCGGGUUGUAAACUUAUGUCUGGUGGGAAGAUAGUGACGGUACCACCGGAGGAAGUCACGGCUAACUACGUGCCAGCAGCCGCGGUAAUACGUAGGUGGCGAGCGUUGUCCGGAAUUACUGGGUGUAAAGGGCGCGUAGACGGGUAAGUAAGUUAGAUGUGAAAUACCGGGGCUUAACUCCGGGGCUGCAUUUAAAACUGCAUAUCUUGAGUGCAGGAGAGGGAAGCGGAAUUCCUAGUGUAGCGGUGAAAUGCGUAGAUAUUAGGAGGAACACCAGUGGCGAAGGCGGCUUUCUGGACUGUAACUGACGUUGAGGCGCGAAAGCGUGGGUAGCAAACAGG